RNAcentral lists this ribosomal RNA (253 nucleotides) under uncultured bacterium. RNAcentral describes it as "partial 16S ribosomal RNA". It matches the Rfam family "Bacterial small subunit ribosomal RNA", at positions 524 to 776 of the family's 1533-position model. The record is from RNAcentral.
UACGGAGGGUGCAAGCGUUAUCCGGAUUCACUGGGUUUAAAGGGUGCGUAGGCGGACAGGUAAGUCAGUGGUGAAAUCUCCGAGCUCAACUCGGAAACUGCCGUUGAUACUAUUUGUCUUGAAUGUUGUGGAGGUAAGCGGAAUAUGUCAUGUAGCGGUGAAAUGCUUAGAUAUGACAUAGAACACCAAUUGCGAAGGCAGCUUACUACACAAUUAUUGACGCUGAGGCACGAAAGCGUGGGGAUCAAACAGG